Molecule: ribosomal RNA, 254 nt
Filed under: uncultured bacterium
Lineage: Bacteria
Description: partial 16S ribosomal RNA
Rfam family: Bacterial small subunit ribosomal RNA
Source: RNAcentral
UACGGGGGGAGCAAGCGUUGUUCGGAUUUACUGGGCGUAAAGGGCGCGUAGGCGGCCACUGCAAGUCGGUUGUGAAAUCUCCGGGCUUAACCCGGAAAGGUCAAUCGAUACUGCAGGGCUAGAGUGCAGAAGGGGCAACUGGAAUUCUCGGUGUAGCGGUGAAAUGCGUAGAUAUCGAGAGGAACACCUGCGGCGAAGGCGGGUUGCUGGGCUGACACUGACGCUGAUGCGCGAAGGCUAGGGGAGCGAACGGG